GAUGUGUGUAUUGCUUCUUGUUAAUGUGCGUAUUACUAACAUGAAAAUGCUUGUUUCUAUGUAUGUUGCUGAAAACAUGUGUUAUUUUCUAGAUAUACAAAUAUUGAUAAUGAGACUCUAUGCGUAUUACUAACAUGAAAAUGCUUGUUAACAGGACUUUGUGCUGGUGUGAGAAUUCUGCCACAGCCUUAGGCCCCCAUUUU
This 203-nucleotide long non-coding RNA is filed under the name Glycine max (soybean). RNAcentral's name for it is "long non-coding RNA (GMAX_LNC004321)". Lineage: Eukaryota; Viridiplantae; Streptophyta; Magnoliopsida; Fabales; Fabaceae. The record is from RNAcentral.